RNAcentral lists this ribosomal RNA (821 nucleotides) under uncultured bacterium. Its description in RNAcentral is "bacterial SSU rRNA". It matches the Rfam family "Bacterial small subunit ribosomal RNA", at positions 48 to 864 of the family's 1533-position model. The record is from RNAcentral.
CUUACACAUGCAAGUCGAACGGCAGCACGGGAGCAAUCUGGUGGCGAGUGGCGAACGGGUGAGUAAUGUAUCGGAACGUACCUUUCAGUGGGGGAUAACGUAGCGAAAGUUACGCUAAUACCGCAUAUUCUGUGAGCAGGAAAGCAGGGGAUCGCAAGACCUUGCGCUGAUUGAGCGGCCGAUAUCAGAUUAGCUAGUUGGUGAGGUAAAGGCUCACCAAGGCGACGAUCUGUAGCGGGUCUGAGAGGAUGAUCCGCCACACUGGAACUGAGACACGGUCCAGACUCCUACGGGAGGCAGCAGUGGGGAAUUUUGGACAAUGGGGGCAACCCUGAUCCAGCCAUGCCGCGUGAGUGAAGAAGGCCUUCGGGUUGUAAAGCUCUUUCAGCCGGGAAGAAAUCACAUGGGUUAAUACCCUGUGUGGAUGACGGUACCGGAAUAAGAAGCACCGGCUAACUACGUGCCAGCAGCCGCGGUAAUACGUAGGGUGCGAGCGUUAAUCGGAAUUACUGGGCGUAAAGCGUGCGCAGGCGGUUUGUUAAGAUAGGCGUGAAAUCCCCGGGCUCAACCUGGGAACUGCGUUUAUGACUGGCAGGCUAGAGUAUGGCAAAGGGGGGUGGAAUUCCACGUGUAGCAGUGAAAUGCGUAGAGAUGUGGAGGAACACCGAUGGCGAAGGCAGCCCCCUGGGCCAAUACUGACGCUCAUGCACGAAAGCGUGGGUAGCAAACAGGAUUAGAUACCCUGGUAGUCCACGCCCUAAACGAUGUCAACUGGUUGUUGGGGGAGUGAAAUCCCUUAGUAACGAAGCUAACGCGUGAAG